AGAGGCGAGACGGAGACGUUAAGCAAAGACACAAAAACCUAAGUCCCAGUUCGGAUUGUAGUCUGCAACUCGAGUACAUGAAGCUGGAAUCGCUAGUAAUCGCAAAUCAGAAUGUUGCGGUGAAUACGUUCCCGGGCCUUGUACACACCGCCCGUCACACCAUGGGAGUUGGAAGCACCCGAAGUCGAUGACCUAACCGCGAGGGAGGAGUCGCCGAAGGUGAAGCCAGUGACUGGGGUGAAGUCGUAACAAGGUAGC
Molecule: ribosomal RNA, 258 nt
Filed under: uncultured bacterium
Lineage: Bacteria
Description: partial 16S ribosomal RNA
Rfam family: Bacterial small subunit ribosomal RNA
Source: RNAcentral